RNAcentral lists this unclassified non-coding RNA (234 nucleotides) under plant metagenome. RNAcentral describes it as "partial contains small subunit ribosomal RNA, internal transcribed spacer 1, and 5.8S ribosomal RNA". The record is from RNAcentral.
UCUCCGUUGGUGAACCAGCGGAGGGAUCAUUACCGAGUUAUUCAACUCCCAAACCCCUGUGAACUUAUACCUUUACUGUUGCUUCGGCGGGUUAACGCCCCGGAAGGCCCGCGAGGGCCGCCGGAACCAGGCGCCCGCCGGGGGACCCAAACUCUUGUAUCUUUUUUAUAGCAUGUCUGAGUGGAAUCAUAAACAAAUGAAUCAAAACUUUCAACAACGGAUCUCUUGGUUCUG